AGAUGCAAUUCGAAUUUCAAUCUUUUUAAAAUAUGUACGAUAGGUUUGAAAAUUUGUUUCAAAUCGAAAUGAGAAUUAUAAUCUCUACCACACUUGCAAUUCUAACCAUAGUUAGAGUCAGCUCGAAUUUUUGCCUUAAUUUCAGCUCGGCUCAUGUCUUGCUUGAAGCACAAUGCAGGCUAAGUAUUCGCUUGGGCUGUCACUCUAAUCAAGUU
This 215-nucleotide long non-coding RNA is filed under the name Elaeis guineensis (African oil palm). RNAcentral's name for it is "long non-coding RNA (EGUI_LNC031514)". The record is from RNAcentral. Lineage: Eukaryota; Viridiplantae; Streptophyta; Magnoliopsida; Arecales; Arecaceae.